GUUUAUGUCCGUUAUGUGGAGCAAAAGGGUAUAUUGUAUUCGUGCAAAGGUGCGUAAUUGUAAAAGGAAGUGUAGUAUACACCUACGCCUCUACAUACGUUUCCAUCUAGCCGUGUCUGUCUGUCUCUCUGUAUCUCUGUCUGGCUGCCUGUCUAUCUGGCCGUCGAGAUCUUGGCCAGAACAAUGGACAGAGAACUGGGUCCACACUGUUCCACGCCACAGAUUGGCCACGCCCCCGUCGUCUAAUUGAAUGAAGCUAUAUCCUUCUUACGCCCAGCUAGCAGUGACCUGAUUUAAAUUAACUGGUUUCGAAAUGAAGUUUGGGCGAAUGAAAGCCUAAAAAUAAAUACAGACCGCAUUGUU
This is a non-coding RNA of Drosophila melanogaster (fruit fly), 363 nucleotides long. NCBI's taxonomy places the organism in Eukaryota, Metazoa, Arthropoda, Insecta, Diptera, Drosophilidae. The record is from Ensembl.